Molecule: ribosomal RNA, 497 nt
Filed under: uncultured bacterium
Lineage: Bacteria
Description: partial 16S ribosomal RNA
Rfam family: Bacterial small subunit ribosomal RNA
Source: RNAcentral
GAUGAACGCUGGCGGCGUGCCUAACACAUGCAAGUCGAGCGGAAAGACGAGGACUUUGCUCCGUUGACGAGUGGCGAACGGGUGAGUAAAACAUGUGGAUAACCCCCCUAUAAGAGGGGGAUAACUCGGAAACAGGGGUGCUAACACCGGAGAACAUCUUGAUCCACAGGGUGCAAUAGUGAAAUACGGCUGUGGUGUCAGUCAUAGAUGGAUCCACGCCUCAUUAGCUAGUUGGCAAGGUAAAGGGUUACCAAGGCAACGAUGCGUAGGCGACCUGAGAGGGUGAUCGGCCACACUGGAACUGGGACACGGUCCAGACUCCUACGGGAGGCCGCAGUGGGGAAUCUUCCGCAAUGGGCGAAAGCCUGACGCAGCAAGGCCGCGUGUGUGAUGAAGGCCUUCGGAUCGUAAAGCUCUGUUAUUAGGGAAGAACAACUUUGCACGUAGACGAGCGGGGCUUGACGGUACCUGAUCAAAAAGCACCGGCUAACUACGUG